Molecule: ribosomal RNA, 668 nt
Filed under: uncultured fungus
Lineage: Eukaryota; Fungi
Description: eukaryotic LSU rRNA
Rfam family: Eukaryotic large subunit ribosomal RNA
Source: RNAcentral
CCCGCUGAACUUAAGCAUAUCAAUAAGCGGAGGAAAAGAAACUAACAAGGAUUCCCCUAGUAACUGCGAGUGAAGAGGGAAGAGCUCAAAUUUGAAAUCUGGCGGUUCUUGCAGCCGUCCGAGUUGUAGUUUAGAGAAGUGCUAUCCGCGCUGGCCUGUGCAUAAGUUUCUUGGAAAAGAAUAUCAUAGAGGGUGACAAUCCCGUCUUUGGCACAGAUCACCAGGGCUUUUGUGAUGCGCUCUCGACGAGUCGAGUUGUUUGGGAAUGCAGCUCUAAAUGGGUGGUAAAUUCCAUCUAAAGCUAAAUAUUGGCGAGAGACCGAUAGCGAACAAGUACCGUGAGGGAAAGAUGAAAAGAACUUUGAAAAGAGAGUUAAACAGUACGUGAAAUUGUUGAAAGAGAAACGCUUGAAGUCAGUCGCGUCUUCCAGGGAUCAAGUCGACUUUUGUCGGCCGUACUUUCUGGUUGAUGGGUCAGCAUCAAUUUUGACCGCUGGAUAAAGGCCUUGGGAAUGUAGCAUCUUCGGAUGUGUUAUAGACCAGGGUUCGGAUACAGUGAUUGGGAUUGAGGAACUCAGUGUGCCCUUGUGGGUGGGGCAACUUGCCUACAUAGCGCACUUAGGAUGCUGGCAUGAUGGCUUUAAUCGACCCGUCUUGAAAUACGGCAU